This 1875-nucleotide long non-coding RNA is filed under the name Homo sapiens (human). Its description in RNAcentral is "HSALNT0274007". Lineage: Eukaryota; Metazoa; Chordata; Mammalia; Primates; Hominidae. The record is from RNAcentral.
UCUACUAAAAAUACAAAAAUUAGCCAGGUGUGGUGUUGGGCGCCUGCAGUCCCAGCUACUCAGGAGGCUUAGGCAGGGGAAUCGCUUGAACCUGGAGGCAGAGGUUGCAGUGCGCCGAGAUCACACCUUUGCACUCCAGCCUGGGCAACUAAAGCGAAACUCUGUCUCAAAAGAAAAAAAGAAAAGAAAGAAAGAAAUUUGUGAUUCUAAGAAAUUGAAAUUGGCUCACACAGUUACGGAGCUGACAAGUCCACCACCACCUGCAAGGUGGCCUUUGGAAGACACUUGUCCUGGCAUCUAAUCUGCAAGUGGAAGAAUAGUGCAUGCCCACAGGUGGCAACUGAGCCAGCUUGCUCAGAGACCCCAGGAUGCAAUCAGCGCUUUGGAGAGGCUGGCUUCCUUGCUUCCUCUUUAGGAAGAUCAAGUGCAAGAGUGACCCUGAAAUCAACCUUCCCUGCAAGAAAGGGCUGUGUCAUGUCCACCGCAGUCACUGUCCAACCUGCUGUCACUGUCCACGGUCCACUGUCCAUGGGACCACUGGCCAGAUGGACUCCUUGCCAUUGGUGGUCUCUAGGGACAGACAGGCAGGCAGUGAGGGUCUAGCCUAGAAGUGGCCCCCAAUGGACCCCGACGAGAGCCGGCCAGUGCUGGAGGAGCUGUCCCCACAAAUGGUCAGGGGAGGGGACACUCAGCCUGGGCCAGGUCAGGGCUUCCAAGGGUGUUCAGCAGUAGCUGGCCAGCGUUGAGGCAAGCAGGUGACAGCGUGGUGGGCAGGACAGUGUGGAUCACAACGACACAAGGCCACAGACAGGGGAUCGGGGCUGGGGAUUAGGCAGCUGGCCUCGGGAAGGUCCUCCAGGGAGUGGCAGGGCUGACUCCAGGACCAGAAACUCCUGACACUGGGACUAAACAUGGCAAGAGCCAUCCCCAGAGGGGCUGAGCCACUGAGCAGAUGACCAGAACCAGAAUGCAACAGAAGCAGAGCCGAGCGGCAGCAGCUAAACCCACGAGCAGCAGCAGCUAAACCCAGGGUCCACGUCAGCCUGGGGUCAGAGGCCAAGUUCAAGCAACACAAUUGGGGCCCUGCCUGGGGGACGCUAGGGCCACAAAUCAGCAUCAACCCAAAAGGGGAGAACCAAUAUUGACCCAUUCAGCGCCAAUCCAAAUACUCAUUCCAAUCAGUGCCAAUUCAAACACUCAUCCCACUCAGCGCCAAUUCAAAUUCUCAUUCCUCCCUGCUGCCCUUCAGUCCUCGGCCCACUGCCAUCCCACUUCCCGACACCUAAAACAGCACUUCGCUGUCGCUUCUCUGAGGUCAUUGGUCCCUUUAUUCUGUGACAAUGUGAGUGAAGGUCUCCCCUGCCCUGAUAGGUGAUGGGCAGCACAAAGGGAGGAGUCAGGGCCUGGCGCGGUGACCCACGCCUGUAAUCCCAGUGCUUUAGGAGGCUGAGGCAGGAGGAUCACUUCACACCAAGAGCUUGAGAUCAGCGUGGGCAACAUAGUGAGACCCCUGUCUCUACAAAACAAUACAAAAGAAAAAAUUUGCCAGGCGUGGUGGUGUGUGCCUGUAGACCCAGCUAUGCGGGAGGCUGAGGCAGGAGGAUCACUUGGGCCCAGGAGGUCUAAGCUACAAUGAGCCUUGUUCAGGUCACUGCACUCCAGCCUGGGCAGCAGAACCAGGCCCUAUCUCGAAAACAAAAACAAAACAAAACAAAAACAAAAGGAGGAAUCAGGACCUAAGACUACUUCCUCCUGGGGCCCAGCCCAUGUCUGGCAUACAGUAGGUACUCAAUAAGUGCUUGUUGAAUGGCCUGGGGUCAGCCCACAUACACAUUAGGGUAGGACCAGGAAGCAGCAGGCAGAAGAGGGCUCCCC